RNAcentral lists this transfer RNA (78 nucleotides) under Nitrososphaerota archaeon. RNAcentral's name for it is "Thaumarchaeota archaeon tRNA-Thr". It matches the Rfam family "tRNA". Rfam says of the family: Transfer RNA (tRNA) molecules are approximately 80 nucleotides in length. Their secondary structure includes four short double-helical elements and three loops (D, anti-codon, and T loops). Further hydrogen bonds mediate the characteristic L-shaped molecular structure. tRNAs have two regions of fundamental functional importance: the anti-codon, which is responsible for specific mRNA codon recognition, and the 3' end, to which the tRNAs corresponding amino acid is attached (by aminoacyl-tRNA synthetases). tRNAs cope with the degeneracy of the genetic code in two manners: having more than one tRNA (with a specific anti-codon) for a particular amino acid; and 'wobble' base-pairing, i.e. permitting non-standard base-pairing at the 3rd anti-codon position. Lineage: Archaea; Thermoproteati; Nitrososphaerota. The record is from RNAcentral. RNAcentral also lists the same sequence under 2 other names.
GCCCCGGUAGCUCAGCCCGGUUAGAGCGCCCGCUUGGUAAGCGGGAGGCCGCGGGUUCAAAGCCCGCCCGGGGCUCCA